RNAcentral lists this unclassified non-coding RNA (373 nucleotides) under Hevea brasiliensis (rubber tree). The record is from RNAcentral. Lineage: Eukaryota; Viridiplantae; Streptophyta; Magnoliopsida; Malpighiales; Euphorbiaceae.
UUGCAUUCAAAAAACUACUCAUUCAAUUUAAAAUUAAAGAACAAUCUGCAAAACUUGAUCAUAUAGCAAACUAAUCCUUUUGCCACUAAACAAGAAAUUAAACUAUAACCCACCAACGGGAAAUUCUAAACAUAACCAGUAGACAAUCCCUAACAAACAUCUUAAGACAUAUCGCCAGCAGCGCAUAAAAGAAAGCAUGUAACAUAACUGAAACUGACGAGUAGAUUAUCGCUUUUUCGACACACCAACAGUUUUUCCUCUGCGGCCGGUGGUCUUUGUGUGCUGACCACGAACUCGGAGGCCCCAGUAGUGACGUAAACCACGAUGAUUCCUGAUCUUUUUCAGGCGCUCCAGAUCAUCCCUAAGCUUCAUG